This 495-nucleotide ribosomal RNA is filed under the name uncultured bacterium. Its description in RNAcentral is "partial 16S ribosomal RNA". It matches the Rfam family "Bacterial small subunit ribosomal RNA", at positions 28 to 507 of the family's 1533-position model. The record is from RNAcentral.
GACGAACGCUGGCGGCGUGCCUAAUACAUGCAAGUAGAACGCAGAAGGAGGAGCUUGCUUCCUUGGAUGAGUUGCGAACGGGUGAGUAACACGUAGGUAACAUGCCUGGUAGCGGGGGAUAACUAUUGGAAACGAUAGAUAAUACCGCAUAAGAGUAGAUGUUGCAUGACAUUUGCUUAAAAAGUACAAUUUCAUCACUACCAGAUGGACCUGCCUUGUAUUAGUUAGUUGGUGGGGUAACGGCUCACUAACGCGACAAUACAUAGCCGCCCUCAGGGGGUGAUCGGCCACACUUGGACUGAGACACGGCCCAGACUCCUACGGGAGGCAGCAGGAGGGAAUCUUCGGGAAAGGACGGAAGUCUGACCGAGCAACGCCGGGUGAGUGAAGAAGGUUUUCGGAUCGUAAAACUCUGUUGUAAGAGAAGAACGAGUGUGGGAGUGGAAAGUUCACACUUUGACGGUAUCUAACCAGAAAGGGACGGCUAACUACGUG